GUCGAGAAUUUUUCACAAUGGGGGAAACCCUGAUGGAGCGACGCCGCGUGGAGGAUGAAGGUCUUCGGAUUGUAAACUCCUGUCAUGCGAGAACAAGAAAGUGAUAGUAUCGCAAGAGGAAGAGACGGCUAACUCUGUGCCAGCAGCCGCGGUAAUACAGAGGUCUCGAGCGUUGUUCGGAUUCAUUGGGCGUAAAGGGUGCGUAGGUGGCGUGGAAAGUUGAGUGUGAAAUCCUAGGGCUUAACCUUAGAACUGCACUCAAUACUCCCAUGCUAGAGGAAUGUAGAGGAGAGUGGAAUUCACGGUGUAGCAGUGAAAUGCGUAGAUAUCGUGAGGAAGACCAGUUGCGAAGGCGACUCUCUGGGCAUUUCCUGACACUGAGGCACGAAGGCCAGGGGAGCAAACGGGAUUAGAUACCCUUGUAGUCC
RNAcentral lists this ribosomal RNA (428 nucleotides) under uncultured bacterium. Its description in RNAcentral is "bacterial SSU rRNA". It matches the Rfam family "Bacterial small subunit ribosomal RNA", at positions 354 to 796 of the family's 1533-position model. The record is from RNAcentral.